This 578-nucleotide ribosomal RNA is filed under the name uncultured fungus. RNAcentral describes it as "eukaryotic LSU rRNA". The stretch from base 180 to 333 matches the Rfam family "5.8S ribosomal RNA". Lineage: Eukaryota; Fungi. The record is from RNAcentral.
GUUGCAUGUGCUCGCUUCUAACAAUUUUAUCCAAACACCUGUGCACUUUUGUGAAGAGGGUCUUGCAGGAUGGAUUACUGGUCUUCCAGUGAUUUUCUUGUGGGUUCCCUUCUUCCCCCAUACAUACUCCUUCAGUAUUAUUGAAUGUGCUUGUGCCACAAGGCUUAUAAAUGUAAUACAACUUUUAACAACGGAUCUCUUGGCUCUCGCAUCGAUGAAGAACGCAGCGAAAUGCGAUAAGUAAUGUGAAUUGCAGAAUUCAGUGAAUCAUCGAAUCUUUGAACGCACCUUGCGCUCCCUGGUAUUCCGAGGAGCACACCUGUUCGAGUGUCGUGAAAUUGUCAGACUGUUGAAGCUUUUUGACUUUGGUUAAAAGUUAUCUCAGUUUGGUGUUGGGCUCUGCCGUGCCUUAUAGGAACGGCUGGCCUUAAAAGCAUUAGCCUGACCCUUGUGAGUGUGUUGGUUCUACUCAGUGUGAUAAUUGUUUCUGACCACUGAGGACAUCUUCCGAGAUGGCCAAUUCUCAUUUGGGGUUGCUUCUAAUCUGGUUGGUAGGUUGCUGAAUCUGCCCCACUUCU